This 707-nucleotide ribosomal RNA is filed under the name Bacillus subtilis. RNAcentral's name for it is "bacterial SSU rRNA". It matches the Rfam family "Bacterial small subunit ribosomal RNA", at positions 555 to 1263 of the family's 1533-position model. The record is from RNAcentral. Lineage: Bacteria; Bacillati; Bacillota; Bacilli; Caryophanales; Bacillaceae.
UGGGCGUAAGGGCUCGCAGGCGGUUUCUUAAGUCUGAUGUGAAAGCCCCCGGCUCAACCGGGGAGGGUCAUUGGAAACUGGGGAACUUGAGUGCAGAAGAGGAGAGUGGAAUUCCACGUGUAGCGGUGAAAUGCGUAGAGAUGUGGAGGAACACCAGUGGCGAAGGCGACUCUCUGGUCUGUAACUGACGCUGAGGAGCGAAAGCGUGGGGAGCGAACAGGAUUAGAUACCCUGGUAGUCCACGCCGUAAACGAUGAGUGCUAAGUGUUAGGGGGUUUCCGCCCCUUAGUGCUGCAGCUAACGCAUUAAGCACUCCGCCUGGGGAGUACGGUCGCAAGACUGAAACUCAAAGGAAUUGACGGGGGCCCGCACAAGCGGUGGAGCAUGUGGUUUAAUUCGAAGCAACGCGAAGAACCUUACCAGGUCUUGACAUCCUCUGACAAUCCUAGAGAUAGGACGUCCCCUUCGGGGGCAGAGUGACAGGUGGUGCAUGGUUGUCGUCAGCUCGUGUCGUGAGAUGUUGGGUUAAGUCCCGCAACGAGCGCAACCCUUGAUCUUAGUUGCCAGCAUUCAGUUGGGCACUCUAAGGUGACUGCCGGUGACAAACCGGAGGAAGGUGGGGAUGACGUCAAAUCAUCAUGCCCCUUAUGACCUGGGCUACACACGUGCUACAAUGGACAGAACAAAGGGCAGCGAAACCGCGAGGU